This is a long non-coding RNA of Perca fluviatilis (European perch), 140 nucleotides long. RefSeq lists it as uncharacterized. The record is from RefSeq and is a predicted model, not a curated record. The transcript is spliced from 3 exons. NCBI's taxonomy places the organism in Eukaryota, Metazoa, Chordata, Actinopteri, Perciformes, Percidae.
AGCAACGAGAAACCAGAACACAUUUGUGCACCUUGUCACAGGACAGCUGAAAGAAGAGAAGAAGAGGAUAUUCUGCAGCAGCUAUCACCUUCACCAUGAAGACACUGACUGUGUUUGCACUGGUUUGUGUCAUUAUGACU